This is a non-coding RNA of Potamilus streckersoni, 78 nucleotides long. NCBI's taxonomy places the organism in Eukaryota, Metazoa, Mollusca, Bivalvia, Unionida, Unionidae. The record is from the annotation of a GenBank genome assembly.
UGUUCUGCGUCGGCCUAGGUGGUUAGAGCGUCUGCCUCGUAUGCAGAAGGUCGCGGGUUCAAACCCUGGUCGAAUCAU